RNAcentral lists this unclassified non-coding RNA (248 nucleotides) under uncultured fungus. Its description in RNAcentral is "partial contains 5.8S ribosomal RNA, internal transcribed spacer 2, and large subunit ribosomal RNA". The record is from RNAcentral. Lineage: Eukaryota; Fungi.
AACGCACAUCGCGCCCCUCGGUAUCCCGGGGGGCAUGCCUGUACGAGCGUCAUUUCUACCACUCAAGUUUAACUUGGUAUUGGGUGUUGUAGCUCCUAAAAGCUACAUGCCUUAAAUUUAGCCGGCAACAAGCACCAGUUCCGAGCGUAGCAGUAAAACAUUUCGCUUUGGGAGCCUUGGAGUAUUGUUCACCGCAAGAAUCUUUAUAGUUUGACCUCGGAUCAGGCAGGGAUACCCGCUGAACUUAA